This 11599-nucleotide long non-coding RNA is filed under the name Nicotiana tabacum (common tobacco). RNAcentral describes it as "long non-coding RNA (NTAB_LNC016493)". The record is from RNAcentral. Lineage: Eukaryota; Viridiplantae; Streptophyta; Magnoliopsida; Solanales; Solanaceae.
UACAACUCUAAAAAAAACCUAGCACCAGCAGUUCCGGCCGAUCCCCCGAACCCUAGAACUUCUACACCUCGCCCAAAUGACCCUUCAACUCCUCCUACACAGAACCAGCGAGAACGGACCCUCUCAUCUCUCUUGAUCUCUGAGAGCAACGAGCAGUAGAAUACCAUCCCCAAUAGAGAACGACCUCCCUCCCUCGUUGCACUUUCGUUCUGUUCUAUCUCGCCAACGAGCUGGCCAAAAUCCAACAGGCUUUCAUGGAGGUCGUUCCAAAGCUCCAAGAAGAAGAAACAGCCGUCGUCCAAACCUCCAACCAACGAUAGCCGCUCCCUCACCACAAACAGCCCGAAGCAGCUCCAAACCGCCAGUAACUGUCAUAGCAUCCGUUGGCUUCAUUGUUUGGUUUAAUUCGAUUUUCCGGCGAGUAUUGUUCUUCAUCUCCUUCUCCGACAGCCAUUGCUAAUCCAACUGACCCUGUUCUUGGCUUCUAGAUAUGGUCGGUUUUACAUUUUUUGGCGAUUUCCAUUAAAACGGGUGGAGAGUGUUGUUUGAGUUGAGUUUUGCCGGUUCGAGGUUCGGAUCAAUAGCUCGUUUGUUUUGAUUUGCUGUUUUCUUGAGAUCUUACUUCAUUGAUUCAUGGCAGAAAAUACGCAGCAAUAAGGUUCAUUUUCCUUUCCGAUAUUGUUCUUCUCGCUAAUGUUUUGGAUCGUUUUGUAUUGAUUUAAUUUGUAUGAUUGGGAUGAUUUUUGUUCUUAGUUUUCUUUGUUGGGACAUUACUCUUGUUGAUUACGUUUCCUCCUAGUCCAUUACUGUAAUUUUCUUAGCAAAUUAUAUUGUUAGUCUCAAUAAUAAUUUAGUUUUUCUUUCUCUAUUUUGAGUAGUUUCCUUGGUAAGCAAUUAUCUGAAAUUAGCUUUUAGGAUAAUGAAUAAUGAAUCUCGUAGUUUACUUUAGACACGUAAUUAAAGCAUCACGACUAUGAGUAUGGUUCUCGUAGCAUGGUUGUGAUACUUAAUCUCAAAUUAGCUUUAAAUAUGAAUAUCUGUAGUUGAAUGCAUUUCGUUUAAAAUAAAUUGAGGUGCGCCAUACACAAACAAAAUUCAUAUUCUAUGGCCCUCAUAUUGGUUAUCUUAACUAGUGUAAAAAUGCCUUGAAUUUUCGUAGUUUGCUUUAGGUGUGUUAAUUAAAUAAUUAUCAUAGCUACGGGUACGGUUCCCGUGACGUGGUCGUGACACUUAAUUUCUAAAAAUCCGGGGUACAUUUAUGUGACCCGGCCACAAUUUAAUCUUGUUAAUAAAAUAAACAUAUUGUAGAUCGUUGGUACGGUUCCCGUGACAAGAUUUGCAAUGUCUAAUUAAAUAAAUAUUAGUAUAAUAACUGAAUAAUUAAAAGCGGUUUAAAAGGAAUAAAAUGCACAUAGGUUUAAAAAUAUUUUAAAAUUAGACAAAUAGGUCAAUAAUAAUAGUUGAGCGACCGUGCUAAAACCACGGAACCCGUGAAUGCCUAACACCUUCUCCCGAGUUAACAAAAUUCCUUACCCGAAUUUCUGUGUUCGCAGACCAUAAAUAAGAGUCAAACUUCCUCGAUUCGGGAUUUUAAACCGAUGACUUGGGACACCAUAAAUUAUCCCAAGUGGUUACUCUGAACUUAAAUAAAUAAAUAAAUCCCAUUUCGAUUGUCACUUAAAUUGGAAAAAACUCCCUUAUACCCUUUCCGGGGGUAAGAAAAAGGAGGUGUGACAGCUCUGGCGACUCUGCUGGGGAUAAGAACCCAGAAUCUCUGGUUCAGGGUUCAAGAAUUCGAGCUUAGAAUAAUUGUUAUAUUUGGUUUUUAUUGAUUAUCUGAUUUUUAUCACAUGCUUGGGCCUAAUGUGCUAAAUGUUGCUUUUUACCGCUUUGAUAUUAUCUGAACUGUAUAUAAACUGCUACGAAACCCUUCUCUUCUCAUCUUCGGGGAUGUGCACGCUAGCGUGACUCCUUUUCUGUUAGUGUCAUACCUUNNNNNNNNNNNNNNNNNNNNNNNNNNNNNNNNNNNNNNNNNNNNNNNNNNNNNNNNNNNNNNNNNNNNNNNNNNNNNCUCGAGUUGUCCGCUCGGGUACACAAGUCUAGAAUAAUAUAACCAGGUUUUAAACCUAGAAUAACUCAGCCUCAUGUCGGAUCCCUAGUAAGAACGCUUGUUUAAUCCGUCUAGGAUAGGUGUACCCAAAAUAACAGACUAUCUUGAUGCAUCUUUGUGCUACAUGUUGCAUUUCUUCAAGGGUAAAAAGGUCAUUUGGCGUACCAAUGAUAGUUGAGGGCAAAUGAGAAAAGAAAAAAAUGAGAAAGAAAAGAGGGUGAAGUGUGAAAAUAAAGCAAGUAGGGCCUAGUUAUGUUUUUCUUUUACAUUUUUUAAGAAAAAGACAAAAAAUGAACAUGAAAAGAAAAAUCCAAAAAGAUUUUGCAUUUCCCUUUAUUUUUCAAAAAAAAAGACAAAAAUAUAUUUUCUCUAAGUUAUUUAUUAAUUUUAUUUCUCGACCGUAUCUGAUCUUACCGAACUACGCAUAUCUGAUUCUCGUCUUUCGGAGCGUGAUACGUAGGCAACCCACAUAGGGUUCUGUCUUCUUAGUGAGUCUUAGGUCCUUGGCUUAGCGGGGUCUUAGCCAAAUCUUGCAUGUCUAGUCAAUUUUGGCCACAUUGGUCAUUUUGCAAAAUAGGGCUAUUUUCACAAAGUGGUUUGUUUAACUGUGUUUGGAGAGUCUCCAAUCUGCAAUUAGGUGUCUCUUUACUUUAGAGUCCAUCCUUGUCAAAUUUGCAUGUCUACCGCUUUUGGCUGCAUAGGCCGUUUUGCAAAAUAGGGCUAUUUUCGCAAAAGUGGUUCAAUUAACCCAUGUCUUAGAGUCCUAGGUCCACAACAAGGUGUCCUCUAUGUUUAAGGCCCAUUCUGUUGAAUUUUCAUGCUUAGCCGUUUUUUUGGCCACAUUGGCCAUUUCUACAAAAUCAGUCAUUUCUGCAAAAGUAAUUUUUCCAUGUCUUAGAGGUCACCUUUGUUGAGUUUGCACUUGUAGCAGCCUUUUGACCACAUAGACUAUUUUGCACAAUCAUAUCUUGUAUGUGUCCAACAAGAAGAGUUAUUGUCUCACAUAGCGUUCUAGGUCUUUAACUUUAUUUGGUCUUAGUUUUCUCAUAUAGGUGUGGAUUUAUUUAUCAGAGUUCGAGCAUGAUAGAUACCCCGGGACCAUCCAGUCAGGAUCGCUCAUUCAGGAGUUGCUUAAAUAGAUUUUUUUUAUUUUUAUUUUUUAUGUUUUGAGUCUGUUUUUCUUUUUAUGUCGUCUUUUACCUUCUAGCUUUGUACAAUAAUGUCGAGUCUUUUGUUAUUGUAUAAUCUAUUUUGUAUUUGAAAAAGUGUGGUAUAACUCAAAAAUCCAAAAAAAAAAAGAAAUUUUGCAUUUUAUAUUUCCGUUAGAAGUUUUCUUUAGAAUACUAAUUCUAGAAAUGAAAAAAAAAGAAUUUAUUUGAGGUGGUUUUCCUUAGGAAAUAAAAAAAAUUGCUUCUAUAUUUUCUUUAGUUAUUAAGACUAAAAAUUCACACACAAAAAAAAGAAUUUUCUUUUAGUACAUCUUUAAAAGUUUUCUUUAAGACAUUAAUUCCGAAAAUCCAAAAAGAUUUUCUUUUGAGGUUCUUCUUUGAGAAAUUAAUGAAAAAUGAAUUUUAAUUUUUUUUUACUAGAACUUUAGGAAAUUGUACAUAGAAGAAUAAAAUAACAUACUUUAUUCUUUGGUUUAUUUUCAGAGUUUCUCCCUUAAUUAAAAAUUGAAAUCCAAAAACAUUUUUUUAUCUUGUUCAUUUCCUGUUUCGAAAUCUUUCCUCAGGAUAUCAAACGAAAAUUCAAAAUAUAUUUCUUUGGUUUAUUUUUUAGAUUUUCUUUCUAAAAAAAAGAAUCAAAAAAAUAUUUUCUCUUCUAGGAUUUUCCCUUAAUAAUUUCUCAUAGAAUAUUUUUUUUAAAAAAAAAAAGAAGAAGAAAACAAAUAUAUGCUCAUUAAGCUUGAGUUUAGAAUAAGUUAUAGAACAUUAAAUAUAGAAAAUUAAAAAAAAGGAUUUGCUUCUUUUGGUUCUCUUUUCUCAUCAGAGUAGUCAUUAAGGUAAAAAGAAAAGAAAAAGAGAACGUUAGUUUGUUUACUUUAUUCUCGAUCUUCCCGAACUACGCAAAGAUCUGAUUCAUGCGGCGUCAUGAUACGUAGGCAACCUACAUAGGGUUCGAUCGAAUCAUUUUUUUAUUUUUAUUAAAAGAAAAGGGAAAAAAGAAGGAAACACAAAAAAAAGAGGUGAAAUUAUGGGAUGUGAGAAAUGAGAGGAAAGAAAAGAGUGAUAAUUAGAAGAAGAAGAAAAAAGAGGAAGGAAAAUGAGCAAGCCAAGAAGUGUUAGAAAAGAAAAGAAAAUAGGAGAUUGAAAUGAAUAAAAUUGCGAUGAUGCCAAGUGACCUUGUGACCCUCGAAGUUAUUCUUGAACCGUUAAUUGUUGCUAGGUGCAUUACAUGCAAUGUGAUAUUUUUAGCUGUUAAAUGUCCUAAUGCUAACAGGAUGACCCCAUUUUGUUCUUUUUGUUAUCUUCAUUGAGAAGAAGGGUGGUUGGUUUGUGGUUCUUAAACUGGUAACUCUUCCAUACAAUACAAGGUCAAAGAGCAAGGUAGCCAUGACUAGCAAAGACUUGAACACGAGAGUUGUUGGCCCGUCGAGGGAGUUUGUGGAGUCGGAGUCUGAAUUGAAAGAGGAGGUCCAAAGGGUGAAACAACAGAUGUCAGAAAUGUAUAAGUCUUGGAUCAGGGGGUAUCAUCCACCUUCAUUCCCCACUAACUACACUGAAAACCCUGCAACUAUCCACCACUAUCACAAGCCUAGGUUCCUACUGCUGUUAAUAUCUCCCCACAACCUUUUCACACUCCACCCCUCAAAAGCACAUCAUAUCCCGCUCCUUUGGCCACUCAUGCUCUUGUAGCUCCUCCUCCAGCUACGUUUCCUCGAUCCUCUAACGAGACUGUGUUCAAACUCCCCGAUGCCCAACACUAUGCCUCAUAACCAACUUUCAAAGUCUCGGAUCCAUAUUCUCACUCUCCUCAUUUUGAGGCUCCCAAUGAAACUAAAAAACCUACUAAGACAGUGGAGCAAGAUGAGAUAUCCAGGAAGGUAAAAAUCUUAGAGCAGUCUUUAAAAAACAUGCAAGGGAUAGGGAGCCAGAUGAGCGUGGCUUACAAUGACUUGUGUUUGUUUCCUGACAUCCAACUGCCAACUGGGUUUAAGAUGCCAAAGUUUGAUUUGUAUGACGGGCACGGAGAUCCCGUGGCCGUUUUGAGAGGUUACUGCACUAAGAUGAGAGGCGCCGGUAGGAAAGACAAAUUAUUGAUGAUGUAUUUCAGUCAGAGUCUGAGUGGGGUAGCUCUGGAGUGGUACACCCGCCAAGACGUUAGCAAGUGGUACGCAUGGGACGAUAUGGCUCAGGUCUUUGCCCGGUACUUUCAGUACAAUAUAAAAAUUGUCCCGGAUCGCAUGUCCCUCACCAAGAUAGAAAAGAAGCCUAACAAAAGCUUUAGAAAAUACGGGCUUAGAUGGAGAGAGCAAGCGGCCAGAGUCAAUCCCCCGAUGGAAGAAAAAGAGAUGGUCGAGUACUUUCUUCAAGCUCAAGAGCUAACUUACUUUGGGCAUUUGAUCACGGAUAUAGGUAGGCCUUUUAAUGAUGUGGUAAAAAUAGGAGAAAUGGUAGAAGAUGGGUUGAAGUCGAGCAAGAUUAUGAGUUAUUAUGCUUUGAAAGCAACAACACAAGCAAUUCAAAAUGACAAAGGAAGCUUGUUGGGUCAGAAGGAACACGAUGAUGUUGCCAUGGUUGUUUUAGAGUCACGACAUGGUCCAAAGGGUCCGCCUCAUCAAUAUACCCAUCCUCAACCCCAACCCCAAACUUAUGCCCGAGCUCCACAUAAUCCACCUCAUUAUUAUCCUCCGAACAAUGUCCGGUCAUCUGUAAAACCACCAGAUCACUCCCUAUGGCGAGCGCCAGCACCGCAUAAUGCAUUCUUGACUUCACAACAUUUCCGAGCACCCAAAAACCCUAGAAAAUAGGUGCAGAGAGGGAAACAAAGGCAAAGAAAUAGUUUCACGCCAAUCGGGGAGUCCUACACAAACUUGUUUGAAAAGUUGAAGCAUUCUGGCCUAAUUGAGCCGCUCCUCAGCUAUACUCCAGACCCAUAUGCAAAAGGUUUUGAUCCUUCUAUACGAUGCAUGUAUCACUCUAAUGUCCAAGGGCAUAACAUUGAAGAUUAUCGUGCUUUGAAAAGGGAAAUAGAAAGAAUGAUUCAAGAAGGGGUAAUUGUGAUUAAGGACAAUGACAUGGAGCAUGCGAAUCCUCUUGGGAACUUGUUGACUGAAGUUAAUGAUAUUGAAGUUAUUAAUGGUCUUAGAAAUAUUGAUGUGGAACCUAGUGGCUAAGAUGUCGUGCUUGGUAAUUGGAAAGACGCUCUAUCUUUUGGCUAGCUGGGGAGGAAUCUUGGUGGUUUAUUUUGUUGUCAUUUCUAUUGUCCGGGUUAUUUUCAGGGUUGUAAUCCGGAUAUUGUCUUGUGACUCAAACCCUUCUAUCAUUUUAUUUCGCCUAGUUUGUUUAGUCGUAAUAGCUCGUUUAGUAUUGUCUGGUUUUGUUCCAGGAUUGUAACCCCAACUUAUUUUACUUGUUUUAUUGUUCAAACCCUUUCACCAUCUGUCUAAUGCAAUUUCCUGUUUUUUGUUAUUUCUAGUCAGUGUUUGUUUAGUUCUCUUUCCCUUUUAUAGUUCUUCUCCUGCUGACUCUAGUGACAUGGCAUGCACGAGUAAUUCUCAGCAUGGUCUUAAAAGUUAGUUUAGUCAUGUAGCAAUGAAACAAUUUUGAAGAUGAUAGGGACAUUUGAGGGAAAUAAGUAAAGGCAUUGUGAGAUCACUUCAAGCCCGAAUUGUAUGAAACUGGGGCAAAUAGAACAUAAAGAAACACUAUUGAAACGCAUCCUGCCGCAUCACGUUGAAGCCAAAGGCAAGUUUGCCCCAAAUUGGCAGGGGCCGUUCGUGGUAACGAGAGUGUUGUCCAAUGGUGCUUUGUAUUUAACAGAUGUAGAAGGAAAAUGUGUGGAUAUGGUCAUCAAUUCUGAUGCAGUCAAAAGAUAUUAUGUAUGAUUUCUUUGGUUUGUUUAAUUGUGUUGUUUGUAUUUGGUAUGCUUUGAAGAUUGGAAUGACGAAGGCAUUUUAUUCUGUUAUCUAAACUCUUUAUUCUUUGUUACCCCUUUGAGCCUUAUUUAUUUUCUUUCAUAUCCCUCUUUUGGAAUCAGAAGCAGAGUUUAGAAAUAUGAUACACGAAAAAAGGAGAGAAAAGAAAAAAAAGAAAAAGAGAAAAAGAGAAAGAAAAAAUGAAAAAAAAGAGUAAAGAAAAGAAAAGAAAAGAGAAAAAGAAAAAAAGAGAGAAAAGUACAAAACAAAGCAAUUCCUAUGACAUGAACUACGUUCGACCUGAUUUCUUUUAAGGAUACAUAGGCAGCCUCACGGUUCGGUCCCAUCAAAAUAAAAUUUUAAAAGUCCCAAAGAAAAGAAACUGGGACAGAAGUUGUGGUUGACGCAAGAGAUCUGAUUCUAAAAGUUAUAAUUUUGAGCCCUUUUAAGCUGUUUUUGAGCCUUUAUGAUACCCUUUGUUUCUAAUCCUAUCCAAAAGCCUACACUACGGUCCAAAGAAAGACCUUCCGAUCAAUCUUUGAGUAGUGCCAAGUCAAGCAAGUUAGAGGUAUGUUCUCCUCAGGGGCGACACUCCGUUCUACAAAAGGAAAGCAAAAAUGAGAGAGCCUUGUCAGUGAAAAUCUUCACAGGCACCAUAAGGCGACGGUAAGUUGAGGGAAAGAACAAAAUAAGAGAGGCUUGAUGGUAAAAACCCUUCGGGCAUUACAAGUCGAAUAAGGACCAUGAAUCAGAUAGGAUAAUCGGAGCAUUGAAGCCGAGUUUCACGACUCAGAGGUACAAUAGGAGUUGAAUAUUAGACUUGCUUGACAUAUUAGGCCACUUAAUCAAAAUGUGCAUGUCAUGGUCAUUAGAGUUGGUGCCCACAUCUGAUAAGUUUCUACUUUAUAAUUUUCUUGUUAGGUAUCAUCUCUUUCCAUUGUCCCUUACUUUGUUCCUUUUGUCUUGUUUACUUCCUCUUCUUGAGUCUGUUUGGUCAAAACAAGUAAGAAAUGACUUCAAAAUUUGCCACCAACUUUCCAAUUGCACAAAACGGGAUCUGGCUAGCACAUCAAAGCGACAUAAGUCAGGAAAGAGCGGUAUACGCAUUGAAUGGAUAACAAUCGACGUGCUUUGGGAUUCAUGAGAAAUGCAAAGGUUGGGUAAAUGUCAAUUCAUGAGCGAAAUGCAACAGAUAGAAGGUAUAGAGUUUGAAUGAAUCAGAAGUAUUUUCUAUGAUAAAGGUGAUAGAUAAAGUGGUUAGUCAAUAAACAGGCAAGGUCUUUCAAGUUGAAAUCAAGGUUAUCAUGGCAAGUGAAGGAGCAAUCGCCCGCAAAGUCAAGGCUACAAACCAACCACCAUAUUUAAACUCACAAGUUUUCUUUGUCUGAAACAUGGAUGAAAUCUAUGUUCUUAUCAAAGCUUGGAAGCUUAAAUUUUUCAGGUGUAAUGCCCCAGUUCUGCUUACGCAAAGGCUAUUGAGAAGAUCACACAUCACCCCUAGGAGAAACACGUCCAAGUCUGGGGUUUUCAAGUUAUAUUUUGUUGUAGGAGAUGCACUUCCUAAAUUGAGUUCACCCUUAGGAUAUGCACUUCCUAGCCUGAGUCUUUAAGGUUAUAUUUUUCUUAGGAGACGCACUUCUUAAAUUAAGAUUUUUUACCAUUAAGAGGCACACUUCCUUGUUUAGAUCAUAUGAGUUUUAGUUAUUGAAGUUUUCACCCCUACGAAAACGCACUUCCUAGUCUUGGUCAUUUAAAUUCACCCCUAGGAGACACACGUCCUAGUUGGAGUCAUUGAAAUUUUACCCGUUAAGAGACGCACUUCCUAGCAGGGAUCUUUCAGAUUAUACUAUUUAGGAGACACACUUCCUAGCUUUGGUCAUUUAAAUUCAUUCCUAGGAGACGCACUUCCUAGCUUGAGUCAUUGAUGUUUCACCCCUAGGAGACACACUUCCUAAUCUGGGUCUUUCAGGUUAUAUUUUUGUUUCAUGAGACGCACUUCCUAAAUUGAGUUUCACCCCUAGGAGACGCACUUCCUAGUAUAGGUAUUUCAGGAUACACUUUCAGGAGACGCACUUUCUAAAUUGAGUUUCACCCCUAGGAGACGGACUUCCUAAAUUGAGUUUCACCCCUAGGAAACGCACUUCCUAGUCUGGGUCUUUCAAGAUACACUUUCAGGAGACGCACUUCCUAAAUUGAGAUUUCACCCCUAGGAGACGCACUUCCUAGUCUGGGUUGUUCAGGAUAUACUUUUAGGAGAUGCACUUCCUAAACCGAGAUUUUACCCCUAGGAGACGCACUUCCUAGUGUGAGUCAUACAAGUUUUACCCCUAGGAGAUGCACUUUCUAGUUUGGUUCAUUCAAGUUUCACCCAUGGGGGACAGACUUCCUGAUAUGGGGCAUUCAGUUUUUAUUUUUAGCAGACGCAUUUGCUGGUCAAAGUUUCUUGGUUUUACUCACAGGAGACGCACAUCCUAGUCUAGUCUUUAGUUUACUCUCAUCAUUGCAUCAAUAGUAUAAGUAGUUUACAAUAUUGCUAACAACUCACAAAUCUUCCUAGUGCAAACUAGGGCAGAAAAUUUUGUUUGUUUUGUUUGUUUUGAUUGCAGGCACCCACAUGGAGAACAAGUGAACACAGAAAAUUCAGCAAUCAGGCGCCCACCUGAAGAACAAGGAAAGACAGUUCAAGUUUCAAGGGAAAGCAGUUCCGAGAGAACACAGAAAGUUUCAGCAAUCAGGCGCCCACCUAGAGAACAAGGGAAGACAGUUCAAGUUUCAAGGGAAGACAGUGCAAGUUUCAAGGGAAAGCAGUUCCGAGGGAACACAGAAAGUUUCAGCAAUCAGCACCCACCUGGAGAACAAGGGAAGACAGUUCAAGUUUCAAGGGAAAACGAUUCAAGUUUCGAAGGAAGACAGUUCAAGUUUUGGCAAUCAAGCACCCGCCUAGAAAACAAGGGAAUUCACUUCAGAAUGCAAUUCAAGUCAGCAACAAAAAAAGCUCACAGCAAGAAUGCGAGUCAGCAGUCCGAGAUGAUUAACGAAAGUUAGUCACAAUCCAGAAUAAAAAAAGGCAAGAAGUGAAUCCAAAUGCAGAAGUUGAUGAAAGAUGUGAGCUACUCAAGACAUGACUGAAGUCACAAGCACGGUAUGUCCGGUUUUGAUCUGAAAAGCUGAAGAAGAAUGGACUAGCACCUGCAACUAGCAAACAUCAGGGUUCAAAUCCAAAGUCUGCAUGAAGAACCAUUCAACACUCAAGAUCAAGCUUCAGAAGACUUAUAUAUAGGAAUCUUGUAACUCAUAGUUGACAGGCUUAGUUAGUAUUUUUUUUUUGAUGUAAUAACAGGAUCGCGGACCGGAACCUCGACGGAAUGACACCUCGAUCGGCUCUCCACCUCGGUACUCCAUCACUCUUUCUAAUUCUGAACUACACGUGGCCUGAUUCCUUUAUAGCCAAGGGCAUGUAGGCAGCUCAGAUACCAGGGCUCGGUCACAUUCUCUUCCUUUCUCUUAGUUUUUGGUCUCCCUAAAUAAGGGUCGGGUCAAAGAGGGGCAGCUGUAGACAUGUGAUUUUUGACCCUCCCCAAGAUUUUUCAUAUUUUAGCAUGUAAAUGUUUAUUUUAGGCCUAAUAUCGCUAUUUUAAUUAGUUUUGACCCUUUUACUUUAUUUUCUCACAAAAAAUGAAAAUUACAAAAACAAAUAGUUUCAUUAAGGUUUUGUAGUCAUUUUUAAUCUUGAAAAAUACCAAAAAAAUAGGUUUGUUUUAAACGGUUAGUGUUAUUUUAAUAGUUAUUUUCUUAAGUAAGAUUAAGUAGUAUUUUUAAUAGUUAUCUUGUUUGCUAUAUUAUUUUUACAUACAAAAAGGAGGAGGGAAUAGAAUUAAUUUUUUUGGACUAAUUUAGUCUUGCUUGUAGCCCAAUUAAACCAAUCUCUUAUCCCAUUAACUCAAAAGCCCAAACCUAGACACCCCUUUAGAAUAAUAUGCAAGAAAAAUAAAAAUAAAAACCCUAGACCUAGACUUUAGCACAUCAGUCGUUUUUUACAUGGAAGAAACUCUUCAUCUUCCUUAGAGAAAACCCUAGAGGACCUAAUCUUGAAGACCAAGCAACCAUGAGAGAUACAACUCUAAAAAAAACCUAGCACCAGCAGUUCCGGCCAACCCUCCUUCCCCGAACCCUAGAACUUUUACACCUCGCCCAAACGACCCUUGAACUCCUCCUACACAGAACCAGCGAGAACGUACCCUCUCAUCUCUCUCGAUAUUUGAGAGCAACGAGUAUUAGAAUAGCAUCCCCAAUAAAGAACGACCUCCCUCCCUCGUUGCACUUUCGUUCUGUUCUAUCUCGCCAACGAGCUGGCCAAAAUCCAACAGGCUUUCAUGGAGGUCGUUCCAAAGCUCCAAGAAGAAGCAACAACC